This 253-nucleotide ribosomal RNA is filed under the name uncultured bacterium. RNAcentral describes it as "partial 16S ribosomal RNA". It matches the Rfam family "Bacterial small subunit ribosomal RNA", at positions 524 to 776 of the family's 1533-position model. The record is from RNAcentral.
UACGUAGGGGGCAAGCGUUAUCCGGAUUUACUGGGUGUAAAGGGGGCGCAGACGGCGAUGCAAGCCAGGAGUGAAAGCCCGAGGCCCAACCCCGGGACUGCUCUUGGAACUGCGUGGCUGGAGUGCAGGAGGGGCAGGCGGAAUUCCUGGUGUAGCGGUGAAAUGCGUAGAUAUCAGGAGGAACACCGGUGGCGAAGGCGGCCUGCUGGACUGCAACUGACGUUGAGGCCCGAAAGCGUGGGGAGCAAACAGG